Long non-coding RNA from Odontomachus brunneus, 665 nucleotides. RefSeq lists it as uncharacterized. NCBI's taxonomy places the organism in Eukaryota, Metazoa, Arthropoda, Insecta, Hymenoptera, Formicidae. The transcript has 3 exons. The record is from RefSeq and is a predicted model, not a curated record.
UUGUAUCUCAGAUGCAUCCUUAAGCACAAGAGACUAUAGCCCCCACCCUCCGUGAUAGGGGGUCUGGGAGGCCCCCUAGUUACAUAGCUAGAGAUAGAUAGUAUAACAGGUUUUCUAACCUAAUACGCCCUCAACUUUGUCUAUUAAUAUCUCGUUUCGCAGUAGAGAGCAACGAUUUUGUCAGAGGAAAAAGUUAUUUGGCAUGCACAAACGCGUCGAUUGAGUCUAUUUUUACCGAAAUCGGAGAUGAGGUAGCUCUUCUGAACAAUUAUCGAUAAUAUUAAAAUCUUACAACAAAUCUGAAAAACUAUUCUUUCUACGCCAUGCUUGUUUACAAAUAUCGCUGAAGGAUAAACAAAUAAGUAAAAUCCACAAUAUUUUCACAAAUAUAAAAAUAUUAAAAUUCGAAUUAUUUUCCUAUUAUUUUUUGGUGUAUUGAAGCUGACAUGACUUUCUAGAAAAUGACGGUAAUAUUCAAAAGUUGACACAAACAUGGCGCAGUCGAGGAACUUCUGCCACAAUUGGGAAUAAUGCAACAAUAAAUUUUCAAGAGAAAAUGUUACAACAACCUCUUGUGAGCUACGUAACUUGAAGGAAAAUGAACUAAAUAUCCCCGACAGCACAAACUUCGAAAACACACAAAGAAACGCUUAAAAGAAGGUAUG